RNAcentral lists this ribosomal RNA (30 nucleotides) under Emericellopsis minima. Its description in RNAcentral is "partial 28S ribosomal RNA". The record is from RNAcentral. Lineage: Eukaryota; Fungi; Ascomycota; Sordariomycetes; Hypocreales; Bionectriaceae.
CAGGUAGGAAUACCCGCUGAACUUAAGCAU